This 481-nucleotide ribosomal RNA is filed under the name uncultured bacterium. Its description in RNAcentral is "partial 16S ribosomal RNA". It matches the Rfam family "Bacterial small subunit ribosomal RNA", at positions 28 to 507 of the family's 1533-position model. The record is from RNAcentral.
GACGAACGUUGGCGGCGUGCUUAAUACAUGCAAGUCAACUGAAGCAGUGGUAGCAAUAUCGCUGUGGAGGUGGCGCACGGGUGAGUAACACGUAGGUAAUCUGCCUUCAGGUCUGGCAUAACUCCGGGAAACCGGGGCUAAUAGCAGAUGAUGCGGCGGCUCGACAUCGAGACAGUUGUUAAAGCUAUGGCGCCUGAAGAUGAGCCUGCGUCUGAUUAGCUAGUUGGCGGGGUAACGGCCCACCAAGGCAACGAUCAGUAGCUGGUCUGAGAGGAUGAUCAGCCACACUGGAACUGAGACACGGUCCAGACUCCUACGGGAGGCAGCAGUAAGGAAUAUUGCUCAAUGGGAGAAAUCCUGAAGCAGCAACGCCGCGUGAGGGACGAAGGGCUUUUGCUUGUAAACCUCUGUAGUGAGAGAAAAAAAUCCCAAUCUUUGGGACAUGAUGGUAUCUCAAAAGUAAGCCCCGGCUAACUACGUG